GAUUAAGUUAUUAAGGGCGCACGGUGGAUGCCUUGGCACUAGAAGCCGAUGAAGGACGUUACUAACGACGAUAUGCUUUGGGGAGCUGUAAGUAAGCUUUGAUCCAGAGAUUUCCGAAUGGGGAAACCCAGCAUGAGUUAUGUCAUGUUAUCGAUAUGUGAAUACAUAGCAUAUCAGAAGGCACACCCGGAGAACUGAAACAUCUUAGUACCCGGAGGAAGAGAAAGAAAAUUCGAUUCCCUUAGUAGCGGCGAGCGAAACGGGAAGAGCCCAAACCAACAAGCUUGCUUGUUGGGGUUGUAGGACACUCUAUACGGAGUUACAAAGGACGACAUUAGACGAAUCAUCUGGAAAGAUGAAUCAAAGAAGGUAAUAAUCCUGUAGUCGAAAAUGUUGUCUCUCUUGAGUGGAUCCUGAGUACGACGGAGCACGUGAAAUUCCGUCGGAAUCUGGG
RNAcentral lists this ribosomal RNA (454 nucleotides) under Staphylococcus aureus. RNAcentral's name for it is "partial 23S ribosomal RNA". It matches the Rfam family "Bacterial large subunit ribosomal RNA", at positions 1 to 448 of the family's 2925-position model. Lineage: Bacteria; Bacillati; Bacillota; Bacilli; Caryophanales; Staphylococcaceae. The record is from RNAcentral.